Molecule: long non-coding RNA, 755 nt
Organism: Formica exsecta
Lineage: Eukaryota; Metazoa; Arthropoda; Insecta; Hymenoptera; Formicidae
Exons: 3
Source: RefSeq, a predicted model, not a curated record
AUGGGGUACCUUGGAAUUAAUUUCUGCAUAAACGUGUUCCGUAAAAGAGGAGGAAAGAACGUAAUUUCCUUAUAAACUCACGAUUGUUGGCCAUUUCCAGGGUAAUUAGCGGUUCGCGAAUUUUUGCACGAUGAUAUACAUCGGCGCCGCCUCGUUUCGCUAAAUUAAACGUACCAUAUUUCAUAACGAUCUCACAAUGGAAAAUUCGCAAGAGUAUCGUAAAAAGCGAUUGCCACACUGAUAAAUUGUAGGAUAUCGUAAAUAAUAAUCGUACAGUAUCCAGUUACGAUUAUUAGUUUUGUAAUUUUCUACAAUUACUUCGCUACAUCCACGUCAUCAAUGCCUGCAGUUGAUAGAUGAAUAGACAUUUAUAUAUAUUUAUAUUUUUUACGCAAUGUAAAAUAAAUCUAUUCCGACGUAUCGAAAAACACUUAAUCAUGCAGCAGGGAAACCUGGAUAAGACAAAAGGAGAAUUGUAACACGGGAUUGUAACUUUUGCGACCCUCAUCUCAUCAACCACGAAUUGUAAUCCAGUUGUCAAUCAAAUCUCUUCUGGGCCUUCUACAAAGUAGGAAAUCGCCAUCGUUGUAAAAUUCUACAGAAAUUGAUUACGUCAAAUAAACGAAGGAUUGAAAGAAACUGAACAGUAGCGUACCUGGUAUUAUUAAAACAAAUGUCCAAAGCAUGUCUCAAUGAUUGUUCGCUCAAAUCAUCGAACGAGAGUACUACCGCGGCACCUCUGGUCUUCGCUGCAG